Molecule: ribosomal RNA, 828 nt
Filed under: Cryptosporidium felis
Lineage: Eukaryota; Apicomplexa; Conoidasida; Eucoccidiorida; Cryptosporidiidae
Description: SSU rRNA
Rfam family: Eukaryotic small subunit ribosomal RNA
Source: RNAcentral
UUUCAACCAAUAUUAUUUUUGGUGACUCAUAAUAACUUUACGGAUCACAAUUUAUUUUGUGACAUAUUUUUCAUUCAAGUUUCUGACCUAUCAGCUUUAGACGGUAGGGUAUUGGCCUACCGUGGCUAUGACGGGUAACGGGGAAUUAGGGUUCGAUUCCGGAGAGGGAGCCUGAGAAACGGCUACCACAUCUAAGGAAGGCAGCAGGCGCGCAAAUUACCCAAUCCUAAUACAGGGAGGUAGUGACAAGAAAUAACAAUACAGGACUUUACGGUUUUGUAAUUGGAAUGAGUUAAGUAUAAACCCCUUUACAAGUAUCAAUUGGAGGGCAAGUCUGGUGCCAGCAGCCGCGGUAAUUCCAGCUCCAAUAGCGUAUAUUAAAGUUGUUGCAGUUAAAAAGCUCGUAGUUGGAUUUCUGUUAAUACCUUAUAUAUAAUAUUUUUUAAAUAUUAAAUUGUAAGAUUAACAUAAUUCAUAUUUUUAAGACUGAAUUUUUAGUUUUGAUAAUAUGAAAUUUUACUUUGAGAAAAUUAGAGUGCUUAAAGCAGGCUUUUCGGUUGAAUACUCCAGCAUGGAAUAAUAAUAAAAGAUUUUUAUCUUUUAAUUAUUGGUUCUAAGAUAAAAAUAAUGAUUAAUAGGGACAGUUGGGGGCAUUUGUAUUUAACAGUCAGAGGUGAUAUUCUUAGAUUUGUUAAAGACAAACUAAUGCGAAAGCAUUUGCCAAGGAUGUUUUCAUUAAUCAAGAACGAGGGUUAGGGGUUCGAAGACGAUCAGAUACCGUCGUAGUCUUAACCAUAAACUAUGCCAACUAGACAUUAUUUUGCGGAG